RNAcentral lists this long non-coding RNA (763 nucleotides) under Nicotiana tabacum (common tobacco). Its description in RNAcentral is "long non-coding RNA (NTAB_LNC002057)". Lineage: Eukaryota; Viridiplantae; Streptophyta; Magnoliopsida; Solanales; Solanaceae. The record is from RNAcentral.
GCUCAUAUUAAAACUUCAUAGAGCGUGAAAUACUAUUUUCAACAUGGCACGAUUAAAAUUUAGUUUCGUUAUCAGCAUUCUUCUCAUGGCAAUCACAAGUGAGUAUACCUAUUUCUUUUAUCUAGAUUAUAAUUUUACAUUAUUAUGUGUAAAUAUAUGUUGCAACAUAUGAGAAAAAAUUUAUCAAUUUGUUGAUAUCUUAUGUUUCUAUGCAUGGUCUUUGAAUGUUCAAUUUCACUUUGUAUUGGCUAAAAUUUUAAUUUUGAUAAUGUGGAAUAUUUCAGUCAAUGUGUCGCAGUUUUUCAUUAGGCAAGUAUUGGCUGCAGAAGUUGAUCUUGAGCUCUCGGGACUCAAGCGGAGACUACUACCACAACUUAAGAAUUGGUUUACUUGUGAUAGAAUUUGUGGGUCCGAUAGUGAUUGUAGUGAUUGUUGGUUUUGCUGCCGCUGUAUUCAUGCUGAAUCAUUUCCUACUAGAGUUUGUAGAGGGCCAUUUGGAUAGAAGAUCAAGACCAAUUCUGUUAUAAAUCUUUGAAAGCAUUUGUGUAAUUUCUAUGUGAUUUCAGUAUCUUGUUUUGUUGAUUUUGUUCUAUUAUGUCUUUCAUACUUUGUAUGAAUAACGAAGAAAAUCAAGAGAAUGUCGUGUGUUUACUACUAUACGAUACAUUUGUUUCACUCCAGAGACGGACUUGAGUAGCAUGUUGUAACAUAGAGACAUCGUAUAUGAGGAAAACACUUUGAUAGUCCGUUAAUGCUGAUAGGA